RNAcentral lists this ribosomal RNA (1477 nucleotides) under metagenome. Its description in RNAcentral is "bacterial SSU rRNA". It matches the Rfam family "Bacterial small subunit ribosomal RNA". The record is from RNAcentral.
AGAGUUUGAUCCUGGCUCAGGAUGAACGCUGGCGGCGUGCUUAACACAUGCAAGUCGAACGAAGCACCUUGAUUUGAUUUUUCGGAUGAAGAUCCUGGUGACUGAGUGGCGGACGGGUGAGUAACGCGUGGGUAACCUGCCUCAUACAGGGGGAUAACAGUUAGAAAUGACUGCUAAUACCGCAUAAGACCACAGCACCGCAUGGUGCAGGGGUAAAAACUCCGGUGGUAUGAGAUGGACCCGCGUCUGAUUAGGUAGUUGGUGGGGUAACGGCCUACCAAGCCGACGAUCAGUAGCCGACCUGAGAGGGUGACCGGCCACAUUGGGACUGAGACACGGCCCAAACUCCUACGGGAGGCAGCAGUGGGGAAUAUUGCACAAUGGGGGAAACCCUGAUGCAGCGACGCCGCGUGAGCGAUGAAGUAUUUCGGUAUGUAAAGCUCUAUCAGCAGGGAAGAAAAUGACGGUACCUGACUAAGAAGCACCGGCUAAAUACGUGCCAGCAGCCGCGGUAAUACGUAUGGUGCAAGCGUUAUCCGGAUUUACUGGGUGUAAAGGGAGCGUAGACGGAGUGGCAAGUCUGAUGUGAAAACCCGGGGCUCAACCCCGGGACUGCAUUGGAAACUGUCAAUCUAGAGUACCGGAGAGGUAAGCGGAAUUCCUAGUGUAGCGGUGAAAUGCGUAGAUAUUAGGAGGAACACCAGUGGCGAAGGCGGCUUACUGGACGGUAACUGACGUUGAGGCUCGAAAGCGUGGGGAGCAAACAGGAUUAGAUACCCUGGUAGUCCGCACGGUAAACGAUGGAUGCCCGCUGUUGGUCUGAAUAGGUCAGCGGCCAAGCGAAAGCAUUAAGCAUCCCACCUGGGGAGUACGCCGGCAACGGUGAAACUCAAAGGAAUUGACGGGGGCCCGCACAAGCGGAGGAACAUGUGGUUUAAUUCGAUGAUACGCGAGGAACCUUACCCGGGCUUGAAUUGCAGAGGAAGGAUUUGGAGACAAUGACGCCCUUCGGGGCCUCUGUGAAGGUGCUGCAUGGUUGUCGUCAGCUCGUGCCGUGAGGUGUCGGCUUAAGUGCCAUAACGAGCGCAACCCCUCUCCUUAGUUGCCAUCAGGUUAAGCUGGGCACUCUGGGGACACUGCCACCGUAAGGUGUGAGGAAGGUGGGGAUGACGUCAAAUCAGCACGGCCCUUACGUCCGGGGCUACACACGUGUUACAAUGGCAGGUACAGAGAGACGGUUGUACGUAAGUACGAUCAAAUCCUUAAAGCCUGUCUCAGUUCGGACUGGGGUCUGCAACCCGACCCCACGAAGCUGGAUUCGCUAGUAAUCGCGCAUCAGCCAUGGCGCGGUGAAUACGUUCCCGGGCCUUGUACACACCGCCCGUCAAGCCAUGAAAGCCGGGGGCGCCUAAAGUCCGUGACCGUAAGGAGCGGCCUAGGGCGAAACUGGUAAUUGGGGCUAAGUCGUAACAAGGUA